Molecule: long non-coding RNA, 283 nt
Organism: Armigeres subalbatus
Lineage: Eukaryota; Metazoa; Arthropoda; Insecta; Diptera; Culicidae
Exons: 2
Source: RefSeq, a predicted model, not a curated record
AAGUGUACUUUUGAUUACCGAUCCAUAGUGGCAAAAACAAAACGAAAUUUAAACAGUUAAAAAACUACAGAUUUUCUUUCCCGAGAGUUUUUCAAUGGACGACAGAGGAUUUAUGAGAAUAACGAUGCCUGGCAGCAUAAAUCGACACCAACAAUCAUGGAGGACGUAUGUUUUGGAACGGAAUCAUGUUACAGUGUGUUUAUUAUAGGCGGUAUUCAUAUUUUGUAAAAUUAUGUUCAAGGUAGAAUCAAAUAAAUUGCUGCAGCAUGUAUACUGAAUGGUU